AGCAGCCGCGGUAAUUCCAGCCCCAAUAGCGUAUAUUAAAGUUGUUGCAGUUAAAAGCUCGUAGUUGAAUUUCGGGAUCAAUAUAUCGGUCGUGCCUUGGUACGUACUGGUAUCAUUGGUUUCUCCUUUCUGACGAACCAUGAUGUCAUUAAUUUGGUGUUAUGGGAAGUUAGGACUGUUACUUUGAAAAAUUGAGUGUUUAAAGCAGGCUUUAGCUUGAAUACAUUAGCAUGGAAUAAUGAAAUAGGACGUUCGAACCUAUUUUGUUGGUUUCUAGGAUCAACGUAAUGAUUAAUAGGGAUAGUUGGGGGCAUUAGCAUUCAAUUGUCAGAGGUGAAAUUCUUGGAUUUAUUGAAGACUAACUACUGCGAAAGCAUUUGCCAAGGAUGUUUUCAUUAAUCAAGAACGAAAGUUAGGGAUCGAAGACGAUCAGAUACCGUCGUAGUCUUAACCAUAAACUAUGCCGACUAGGGAUCGGAUGAUGUUAAUUUUUAAUGUACUUCAUUACGGCGUCCUUACG
RNAcentral lists this unclassified non-coding RNA (520 nucleotides) under uncultured Glomus. Its description in RNAcentral is "SSU rRNA". It matches the Rfam family "Eukaryotic small subunit ribosomal RNA", at positions 569 to 1092 of the family's 1831-position model. The record is from RNAcentral. Lineage: Eukaryota; Fungi; Glomeromycota; Glomeromycetes; Glomerales; Glomeraceae.